This 31-nucleotide small RNA is filed under the name Bombyx mori (domestic silkworm). Its description in RNAcentral is "ovarian small RNA-2670". Lineage: Eukaryota; Metazoa; Arthropoda; Insecta; Lepidoptera; Bombycidae. The record is from RNAcentral.
GACAUCAAAUAUUGGGGUUUCCGCAGCCCCC